This 239-nucleotide long non-coding RNA is filed under the name Gallus gallus (chicken). The record is from RNAcentral. Lineage: Eukaryota; Metazoa; Chordata; Aves; Galliformes; Phasianidae.
ACAGACUUUGCUGACGAGAUGCUCCUGAUCCAAGUGAACCAGCUGGCAGGCCUGGGCAAGCAAGACACAAACAUCCUGAGCGCUGGGCCCCGCCGCCGGCGCCGGCCCGCAGUUCUCGGAGAUGAGCUGAUCGAACAGCAGGUGCAGUUCGGUGCGGCGGCCGCCGGCGGAACGCUCCGCGCCAGGCUGAGUCCGCAGCGCACCCAACCGCGCCAGGUAGCGGCGGAAGGAGCCGCCCG